AUGCUUUUAGCCGUAAUGGCAUUAACUUUGAAGGGGUUAAAUAACUUUAGCAUU
RNAcentral lists this transfer RNA (54 nucleotides) under Histiostoma blomquisti. RNAcentral describes it as "tRNA-Phe". Lineage: Eukaryota; Metazoa; Arthropoda; Arachnida; Sarcoptiformes; Histiostomatidae. The record is from RNAcentral.